RNAcentral lists this ribosomal RNA (330 nucleotides) under Lumbricillus tuba. RNAcentral describes it as "eukaryotic LSU rRNA". It matches the Rfam family "Eukaryotic large subunit ribosomal RNA", at positions 42 to 365 of the family's 3401-position model. The record is from RNAcentral. Lineage: Eukaryota; Metazoa; Annelida; Clitellata; Enchytraeida; Enchytraeidae.
AUUAAUAAGCGGAGGAAAAGAAACUAACGAGGAUUCCCUCAGUAACGGCGAGUGAAGCGGGAAGAGCCCAGCACCGAAUCCCCCGCCUUCAGCGGCGGCGGGAACUGUGGUGUUUAGGACGAUCGCUGGGGAUCGGUUGGGAGUCCGAGUCCUCCUGAUCGGGGCUUCACCCAGAGCGGGUGUCAGGCCUCUACGGCCCCCGACCGGUUCUCUAAGGUCGUCCUAGGAGUCGGGUUGUUUGAGAAUGCAGCCCAAAGCGGGUGGUAAACUCCAUCUAAGGCUAAAUACAGACACGAGUCCGAUAGCGCACAAGUACCGUGAGGGAAAGUU